This 273-nucleotide ribosomal RNA is filed under the name uncultured Bacillus sp. RNAcentral's name for it is "partial 16S ribosomal RNA". It matches the Rfam family "Bacterial small subunit ribosomal RNA", at positions 524 to 796 of the family's 1533-position model. The record is from RNAcentral. Lineage: Bacteria; Bacillati; Bacillota; Bacilli; Caryophanales; Bacillaceae.
UACGUAGGUGGCGAGCGUUGUCCGGAAUUACUGGGUGUAAAGGGCGUGUAGGCGGGAAGACAAGUCAGAUGUGAAAUACCGGGGCUUAACUCCGGGGCUGCAUCUGAAACUGUUUUUCUUGAGUGUCGGAGAGGAAAGCGGAAUUCCCAGUGUAGCGGUGAAAUGCGUAGAUAUUGGGAGGAACACCAGUGGCGAAGGCGGCUUUCUGGACGACAACUGACGCUGAGGCGCGAAAGCGUGGGGAGCAAACAGGAUUAGAUACCCCGGUAGUCC